Molecule: transfer RNA, 74 nt
Filed under: Flavobacteriales bacterium
Lineage: Bacteria; Pseudomonadati; Bacteroidota; Flavobacteriia; Flavobacteriales
Description: tRNA-Asn
Rfam family: tRNA
About the family: Transfer RNA (tRNA) molecules are approximately 80 nucleotides in length. Their secondary structure includes four short double-helical elements and three loops (D, anti-codon, and T loops). Further hydrogen bonds mediate the characteristic L-shaped molecular structure. tRNAs have two regions of fundamental functional importance: the anti-codon, which is responsible for specific mRNA codon recognition, and the 3' end, to which the tRNAs corresponding amino acid is attached (by aminoacyl-tRNA synthetases). tRNAs cope with the degeneracy of the genetic code in two manners: having more than one tRNA (with a specific anti-codon) for a particular amino acid; and 'wobble' base-pairing, i.e. permitting non-standard base-pairing at the 3rd anti-codon position.
Source: RNAcentral
UCCUCCUUAGCUCAGUUGGUUAGAGCACCUGACUGUUAAUCAGGGUGCCCUUGGUUCGAGUCCAAGAGGAGGAG